ACGGGAGGCAGCAGUGGGGAAUAUUGGGCAAUGGGCGAAAGCCUGACCCAGCGACGCCGCGUGAGGGAAGAAGGUCUUCGGAUUGUAAACCUCUUUCAGCAGGGAAGAAGCAUGACGGUACCUGCAGAAGAAGUCACGGCUAACUACGUGCCAGCAGCCGCGGUAAUACGUAGGUGGCGAGCGUUAUCCGGAAUUGCUGGGUGUAAAGGGUGUGUAGGCGGAGAAGCAAGUCAGGCGUGAAAUUCAGAGGCUCAACCUUUGGACUGCGCUUGAAACUGUUUUCCUUGAGUGUUGGAGAGGUAAACGGAAUUCCUGGUGUAGUAGUGAAAUGCGUAGAUAUCAGGAGGAACACCGGUGGCGAAGGCGGUUUACUGGACUGUAACUGACGUUGAGGCUCGAAAGCGUGGGGAGCAAACAGGAUUAGAUACCCUGGUA
RNAcentral lists this ribosomal RNA (435 nucleotides) under uncultured Oscillospiraceae bacterium. Its description in RNAcentral is "bacterial SSU rRNA". It matches the Rfam family "Bacterial small subunit ribosomal RNA", at positions 341 to 792 of the family's 1533-position model. Lineage: Bacteria; Bacillati; Bacillota; Clostridia; Eubacteriales; Oscillospiraceae. The record is from RNAcentral.